This 313-nucleotide ribosomal RNA is filed under the name uncultured bacterium. Its description in RNAcentral is "bacterial SSU rRNA". It matches the Rfam family "Bacterial small subunit ribosomal RNA", at positions 28 to 352 of the family's 1533-position model. The record is from RNAcentral.
GAUAAACGCUGGCGGCGUGCCUAACACAUGCAAGUCGAACGCCCUUUUGCGCAAGUGAGAGGGAGUGGCGGACGGGUGAGUACCACGUGGGUACCUACCUUGAGGUGAGGAAUACCACCGAGAAAUCGGUGACAAGACCGCAUACGCUCGGGCAACCGAGCAAAGUCAUGCAAAUGACGCCACAAGAUGAGCCUGCGCCUGAUUAGCUGGUUGGUGAGGUAACAGCUCACCAAGGCGACGAUCAGUAGCUGGUCUGAGAGGAUGAUCAGCCACACUGGGAUUGAGAACGGCCCAGACUCCGUACGGGGGCGGA